RNAcentral lists this ribosomal RNA (346 nucleotides) under uncultured bacterium. RNAcentral's name for it is "partial 16S ribosomal RNA". It matches the Rfam family "Bacterial small subunit ribosomal RNA", at positions 338 to 701 of the family's 1533-position model. The record is from RNAcentral.
CCUACGGGGCGCAGCAGUAGGGAAUAUUGCUCAAUGGGGGAAACCCUGAACCAGCAACGCCGCGUGGAGGAUGACGGUUUUCGGAUUGUUAACUCCUUUUGUUCGAGAAGCUAAUGACGGUCUCUAACGACUAAGCACCGGCUCACUCCGUGCCCGCAGCCUCGGUAAUACGGAGGGUGCAAGCGUUACUCGGAAUCACUGGGCGUAAAGAGCGCGUAGGCGGGAUAGCAAGUCAGAUGUGAAAUCCUAUGGCUUAACCAUAGAACUGCAUUUGAAACUGUUAUUCUAGAGUAUGGGAGGGGUAGGUGGAAUUCUUGGUGGAGGGGGAGAAUCGGUAGAGAUCAAG